CCACGGAGCUCAGGCUGGGGCUCCCGGGGUCGGUGUCGCCCGACCGCAAGGACAAGGUCGGGCUCACCCUGGAGCUGCUCCCCAGGGGCUUCGUCUCCGGUGCCAAGAGGGGGUUCUCCGACGCCAUCGAUGGGGCUGGGAAGUGGAGCUUCGCGUCCGGAGAGAGUGGAUCUGAGGUGGACCUGGGGAAAGGCGGUGGCUUGUUCUCGCCGAGAGGGGAGGCGGUGGCCGGGGCCAGCGGAGGGCAGCUCUCUGGGCAGGGCACUGGGGGUAAGGAUGCGGCAGCGAAGGCGGCCGGGCAGGAGCGGAAGGCCGCCGUACAGGUCGGUAG
Molecule: long non-coding RNA, 331 nt
Filed under: Musa acuminata (dwarf banana)
Lineage: Eukaryota; Viridiplantae; Streptophyta; Magnoliopsida; Zingiberales; Musaceae
Description: long non-coding RNA (MACU_LNC006045)
Source: RNAcentral